This 209-nucleotide long non-coding RNA is filed under the name Lathyrus oleraceus (garden pea). RNAcentral's name for it is "Pisum sativum (pea) long non-coding RNA (PSAT_LNC032628)". The record is from RNAcentral. Lineage: Eukaryota; Viridiplantae; Streptophyta; Magnoliopsida; Fabales; Fabaceae.
GAAGAGCAAGACAUCAAAUAAAGAUAGCCACAUCCAAGCAAGCAACUCCAUAGUCUUCUUCAUGAUCUCCCAUGCAUCAGAGGACAUACUCCUUGAAUGGCUCAGAAUAAGGCAUUAGACACAGGUUCAAAGUAACAACUUGUAGCGGGGUAUUCGUUACCUUAUGGUUUAUUGAUUAAACCAAAAGUAAACAUACAAUUCGAGUUGCC